GACGAACGCUGGCGGCGUGCUUAACACAUGCAAGUCGAACGGAAAGGCCCCUUUGGGGGUACUCGAGUGGCGAACGGGUGAGUAACACGUGAGUAACCUGCCCUUGCCUUCGGGAUAACUUCAUGAAACUGGGGCUAAUACCUGAUAGGAAUCCUUGCUGCAUGGUUGGGGUUGGAAAGCUUCGGCGGUUUUGGAUGGACUCGCGGCUUAUCAGCUUGUUGGUGGGGUAGUGGCUUACCAAGGCUUUGACGGGUAGCCGGCCUGAGAGGGCGACCGGCCACAUUGGGACUGAGAUACGGCCCAGACUCCUACGGGAGGCAGCAGGGGGGAAUAUUGCACAAUGGGCGGAAGCCUGAUGCAGCAACGCCGCGUGCAGGAUGACGGCCUUCGGGUUGGAAACCGCUUUCAGCAGGGGCGAAGCUUGUGGUGACGGUACCUGCAGAAGAAGCACCGGCUAACUACGUG
This 465-nucleotide ribosomal RNA is filed under the name uncultured bacterium. RNAcentral describes it as "partial 16S ribosomal RNA". It matches the Rfam family "Bacterial small subunit ribosomal RNA", at positions 28 to 507 of the family's 1533-position model. The record is from RNAcentral.